UGCCAAACUAAGUUCAUUGGGAUUCUGUCUCGGGACAUCGGGACAAGGUUGAUUUAGGGGUAUUAUACUUACCACGAGUGCAUUAUAUAUUUUUAAUAGCCCAAAAGUUAUACCCAAAAUUUAUACCAGGAGAUUUUCUAGUUGAACCCUAAAGUUACCCAGUGGGUCCAUUCUCUUUUCUCACCAUUUUAUUUCCUUUUUGUGAUUUACCCAAAACUAUUAUUUUAUUUCGUAAACAACUCUUAUCAAAAGUCAUAUCUAUUAUUUUUACCCAAUAGGAAACCCUAGUUGAGACACCCAAGUAAUUCUACACAAUCCCUAAAAUUUUCAGAAUAAACAGAAUCAGGUUCAGGGCCCCUAAAACUCAAGGGGGAUAAACCCUAAUCAAUAUUUAUCUUCUAAAAUUUGUUGUCAAAAUUGAAUUCAAGCAAACAGUCGAAUCAGCUAGCCUACUCCCACACGCGACAAACCUAUGGUCAUUACGUGUCCCUUACGGACCGUAAGGGAUAAGUCUUACGGUCCGUAAGCCUGUCAAAUUUCAUGUAUAAAUAGCAGGCAUCGACACUUGCAGUCUGCUGUUCAUUCGACGAUUAAAUUCCGAUUAUACACCGAGUUAUCGUCCAAAUACUCUAAACAAACACACGCGAAUCACUAAUUAGUAUAGCAGGGUGCUGCUACGAUACAGGGUAUUAACUCGAUCGCUAUUACGAUUCAUUUUCCGACCGAUCAAUAUAUCCAAUGGAUGUUUAAGUGCCACCCACAUUAGGGUUAUACUUUGUCGUUCGUCGUUAAAUCGAUGGAUGUUUAAGUAUCGCACUUUGUCGUUCGUUGUGAGAAUUUGAUCUCGUGAGUUAUCGUAAUUGUUGUAUUAAGUUACCUACCUAGUUCGUGUGCACUAGGUUACAAGGCUAAAUCAAUAGGCUAAGUUCUGCCUGUAUAAAUCUGCAAUAUAUCAAGGCUUAUCUGUAGACUAAACUUUGGCCGUAUGAAUCUGCAUGAUUAUAAUGUAAUUACAGUAGAUUGGAAUAAGGAUUGGAUCCGGCACCAAAAGACUUCAAGAAGUGGCUUAUUUUAUUAAUUAAAUCAAAAUUAAGAAAUAUUGUUUUUAUUAAAAGCUACCUUUGUAACAAUGGAAUUUAUUCCAUCUAUUUAAAUAAAAUCCGGUGU
This 1167-nucleotide long non-coding RNA is filed under the name Helianthus annuus (common sunflower). RNAcentral describes it as "hypothetical non coding rna". Lineage: Eukaryota; Viridiplantae; Streptophyta; Magnoliopsida; Asterales; Asteraceae. The record is from RNAcentral.